AACCUUGUGCAUGGGCAAUAUCCUGAAUCGAUGAAGUUUAUACUGAGAUGGGAUUAUUGCGAAUUGAAAACUUAACCAAUGCCUCGCGCUGAGGACGUAACAGUCCGCAGCGCAAUUUUUGGGAGUCUCUAACGAGA
This 137-nucleotide small nuclear RNA is filed under the name Clunio marinus. RNAcentral describes it as "U4 spliceosomal RNA". It matches the Rfam family "U4 spliceosomal RNA". From Rfam's summary of the family: U4 small nuclear RNA (U4 snRNA) is a component of the major U2-dependent spliceosome. The structure of U4 snRNA from yeast and human has been reported. Lineage: Eukaryota; Metazoa; Arthropoda; Insecta; Diptera; Chironomidae. The record is from Rfam by way of RNAcentral.